GGGUGAGUAACGCGUAAGAACUUGCCCUUUAGACUGGGAUAACAGAGGGAAACUUCUGAUAAUACUGGAUAAGUUAGUAUAUCGCAUGAUAUGCAAAUGAAAGCUACGGCACUAAAGGAGAGCUUUGCGUCCUAUUAGCUAGUUGGUAAGGUAAGAGCUUACCAAGGCGAUGAUAGGUAGCCGGCCUGAGAGGGUGGACGGCCACAAGGGGACUGAGAUACGGCCCUUACUCCUACGGGAGGCAGCAGA
This 249-nucleotide ribosomal RNA is filed under the name uncultured Leptotrichia sp. RNAcentral describes it as "partial 16S ribosomal RNA". It matches the Rfam family "Bacterial small subunit ribosomal RNA", at positions 104 to 354 of the family's 1533-position model. The record is from RNAcentral. Lineage: Bacteria; Fusobacteriati; Fusobacteriota; Fusobacteriia; Fusobacteriales; Leptotrichiaceae.